AAACUCAAGAAUUAAUUAUUUGAGAAUAUGGCCUUCAACAGACAGGUGCAAAAAAAAAAAAGGACAGACCUCUGGGAGGUCCUAGGUCAAGCUUGAGCCACCAUUGGCACAUGUAAGAUGCAGGAAGUGAGGUAGAGAACAGCCUCUGGAGUUCUCAGGACUUCCUGGGAGGAGGGCUAAAGUUCAGUUGGUGCUUGAGUUUGGAGGAGCCCCACCGACUGCUUUCCUUCAGAUUGGUCAUCUUGAAGCUAAGAAAGUUAUUUGGCUGAACACUGUAAGGUAAUGUAAGGUCCUUAUUCCUUAACUCUUGCUGAUGCCAGCAUUGUAUGUUCUCAGAAAAAUUGGCAAGGUAGGCAUUUCUCCUUUAUUACAUAAAGGAAAUAAGUGAAUCAGAAUUCACCACUCAUCUCUCAAACUUGAUAUAAACUGUGAAAGGUAAAACCUACAGAGUGUAC
RNAcentral lists this long non-coding RNA (455 nucleotides) under Monodelphis domestica (gray short-tailed opossum). RNAcentral's name for it is "lncRNA (ENSMODG00000044378.1)". The record is from RNAcentral. Lineage: Eukaryota; Metazoa; Chordata; Mammalia; Didelphimorphia; Didelphidae.